UACGUAGGUGACAAGCGUUGUCCGGAUUUACUGGGCGUAAAGAGCGCGCAGGCGGUCGUUCAAGUCGAGUGUGAAAGCCCCCGGCUCAACCGGGGAACGGGCCUCGAUACGGGUCGCCUCGAGGCGAGGAGGGGGACCUGGAACUUCCGGUGGAGCGGUGAAAUGCGUUGAGAUCGGAAGGAACGCCGACGGCGAAAGCAAGGUCCUGGACUCGUCCUGACGCUGAGGCGCGAAAGCCAAGGGAGCGAACGGG
This 253-nucleotide ribosomal RNA is filed under the name uncultured bacterium. Its description in RNAcentral is "partial 16S ribosomal RNA". It matches the Rfam family "Bacterial small subunit ribosomal RNA", at positions 524 to 776 of the family's 1533-position model. The record is from RNAcentral.